Molecule: non-coding RNA, 48 nt
Organism: Schistosoma rodhaini
Lineage: Eukaryota; Metazoa; Platyhelminthes; Trematoda; Strigeidida; Schistosomatidae
Source: Rfam
AUCCAGCUGACGAGUAUCAAAUAGGACGAAACGCGCGUCAAACUGGAU